UUGAGYUUGAUCCUGGCUCAGAUUGAACGCUGGCGGCAGGCCUAACACAUGCAAGUCGAGCGGCAGCACGAGAAAGCUUGCUUUCUUGGUGGCGAGCGGCGGACGGGUGAGUAAUACAUGGGAAUCUGCCCGAUAGUGGGGGACAACGUUUCGAAAGGAACGCUAAUACCGCAUACGUCCUACGGGAGAAAGCAGGCUUAGGCUUGCGCUAUCGGAUGAGCCCAUGUCGGAUUAGCUUGUUGGUGAGGUAAUGGCUCACCAAGGCGACGAUCCGUAACUGGUCUGAGAGGAUGAUCAGUCACACCGGAACUGAGACACGGUCCGGACUCCUACGGGAGGCAGCAGUGGGGAAUAUUGGACAAUGGGGGCAACCCUGAUCCAGCCAUGCCGCGUGUGUGAAGAAGGCCUUCGGGUUGUAAAGCACUUUCAGCGAGGAGGAAAGCAGUAAGGUUAAUACCCUUAU
Molecule: ribosomal RNA, 463 nt
Filed under: Oceanospirillaceae bacterium M17-C39
Lineage: Bacteria; Pseudomonadati; Pseudomonadota; Gammaproteobacteria; Oceanospirillales; Oceanospirillaceae
Description: bacterial SSU rRNA
Rfam family: Bacterial small subunit ribosomal RNA
Source: RNAcentral